RNAcentral lists this ribosomal RNA (253 nucleotides) under uncultured bacterium. Its description in RNAcentral is "partial 16S ribosomal RNA". It matches the Rfam family "Bacterial small subunit ribosomal RNA", at positions 524 to 776 of the family's 1533-position model. The record is from RNAcentral.
UACGUAGGUGGCAAGCGUUGUCCGGAAUUAUUGGGCGUAAAGCGCGCGCAGGUGGUUUCUUAAGUCUGAUGUGAAAGCCCACGGCUCAACCGUGGAGGGUCAUUGGAAACUGGGGAACUUGAGUGCAGAAGAGGAAAGUGGAAUUCCACGUGUAGCGGUGAAAUGCGUAGAGAUGUGGAGGAACACCAGUGGCGAAGGCGGCGACCUGGGUAGAUACUGACGCUGAGGCGCGAAAGCGUGGGGAGCAAACAGG